ACAAACCAUUCAAACACACACACUUAGAAAUCCGCAGACCAAAGAAACGCUGAGCUCCAGAGAGAUCGCAGCCUUUACUGUACAUCAUGACAACUGAAUGAACCCUAGAGCAGAACUUUGGAUUAUUCGGAGGCCAUAAGACCUUUAAAUUCUCCAGACAAUGUGAAUUUUGAACAUCAUGAAGAAACACGUCGAGUGUGACGCACAUUCCCUGCGUGGAUGAGCACGGCUUUUCCAGACCUCUGAACAUCCUGCGUGAUUUCUGGAGAACUUCUGAAAAAGCACCUUUACAGUGUGAAUCAUCCGACCUGAAACCGUUCGUCACACAACUCCUACACAACCAGCCUCUUCACUGACACCGAGUGUUUAUCUCUGUAAGUCACGCUCUCGGACCGCUUUAAAAUAGAACCUCAACUGCAAUUUGUGAUUCAUAAACGCACUGCGAAAAAUUGCAUAACUGUGACUGCCGUCCUGAAGUGAAAAAUGAGGACGAGAGAAGAGAAUAUUAAUCAAACAGAAUAAUAAAAUGGAGUUAUGGAGCUCUGGAGUUAUUCCUGUGGCCAGAGGACAUAACAAAAUCACACAAAAAAGAAUGUUAUGUUUCAAAUGAUGAAACUGUAUAGUUUAAAAUAAAUAUGAUUUUUGGCCUGUUAUGAUUGCACACGCAUUUAGUGGAAUAUACUUUAUAUACAUAGCAAAACUAUCUUUUGCUUUGCUGAUGCUGUUUUUAACCAUCUGAUAAUCUUCUAACAGGCCUAAUGGUGCUGAAUAAACUCUCACUGCUGGAUGCUGCCAAGUUACACGGCCGUGCGCUGUCAUCCAUCCAACAGCCAAUCAGCUCUCAGACAUUCAGUUCCUGCGGAGCGCUUUGUUCCCCAUCAAGAAGGGAUAACGGGAACGCUACAGUCUGUUAACCAGAAACGCUCUCUCUUUGUCUGAAUGUGAAAGUCUCACUGCGCGUCAAAAAACAAAAACAAAGUCGCUGAUUGGUUAAAUCGAAGCGUUCUCAACCAAUUCAAAUUAAGUUUCUGUUUUCAUGUCACAAAAAGUCGUAAUUUAACACGCCGAACAAUCCCACAUGUUUUUAGUAAGGUGAUGCAUUUUAAGUAAGA
Triplophysa rosa is the source of this 1112-nucleotide long non-coding RNA. RefSeq lists it as uncharacterized. The record is from RefSeq and is a predicted model, not a curated record. The transcript is spliced from 3 exons. NCBI's taxonomy places the organism in Eukaryota, Metazoa, Chordata, Actinopteri, Cypriniformes, Nemacheilidae.